AAAAUCUAUUUUUUCUGUUUUGUCAGUCCAAAAAAACCACAGACGGCCAAUGUUUUAGUGUUUGAAAAGUAUUGUCUGCAGCCUUAUGAGGUGAAACCAUUUUCAAUGCUAAACAUUUUGAUGUUUACUUUUUUUCACUUAUCUUAAAAAUUCAGCAGGCAAUGGCUGAGUCAGGAUGCGAAUGGUAGACCUUCAGAGAAACCCCACCCAGUAAAGAAAGGACACAGAUUAUUCAUAUUGGGGUGCAGAAAAAGCCUGGGACUAUUUCUCUAUCAACUCUGCAAUUUCACACACAUACGCAUUCAGACAGGCCAGCAAGCUACACAGGCAUCAUCUAUACUAGCUCCAUAAAUGCUCCUUUGUCUGGAUCAGGAAAGAUUGGAGGGCAGCUGUGGAAGUAGCCAUUGACUCUGCUAGCGUGUUCCAUGCUGCUGCUCUAAGGCCAGGACAUCAGUCACUGUUCCAGUUCUUCAAGUGGAACUGAUGCCAUGGGAAUGGGCUGAUGAGCAGAUCAAACAGAGAUUUUCAGAAAGGUCCAUGUGGCACUCCAGGCUACAGAACUACCAGCAAACAAACAACUGAUUUCAAAAAUCUGACCCCAGGCAGAGCUCAUAUCCUUCUUAGUACACCACCCUCUGAUGUAUUCACCUGAGAGGAAAGAUUUUCCAGUUCUUUGAUCAUUCUCAUCCCAACUCUCUGAACUCUCUCUAAUUCAGCAAUAUCCUUCCGGAGAGGGGGUGAUCAGCACUGCACAAAGGAUACAGCCUCAGAUUGAGCAGAGAUCUUCAUCCAGCUGUCUACAAGGAUGUCUAGGUCACUUGAGUUGAUAGAGUUCAUUUAGAACCCGGUAA
This is a non-coding RNA of Pelodiscus sinensis (Chinese soft-shelled turtle), 851 nucleotides long. NCBI's taxonomy places the organism in Eukaryota, Metazoa, Chordata, Testudines, Trionychidae. The record is from RefSeq and is a predicted model, not a curated record.